This 510-nucleotide ribosomal RNA is filed under the name uncultured bacterium. RNAcentral describes it as "bacterial SSU rRNA". It matches the Rfam family "Bacterial small subunit ribosomal RNA", at positions 998 to 1509 of the family's 1533-position model. The record is from RNAcentral.
CCGGCGAAAGCCGGCUCCCGCAAGGGGACUCGUAGAGGUGCUGCAUGGCUGUCGUCAGCUCGUGUCGUGAGAUGUUGGGUUAAGUCCCGCAACGAGCGCAACCCUUGUCUCUGUUGCCAUCAGGUUAUGCUGGGCACUCUGAGGAGACUGCCGGUGAUAAACCGGAGGAAGGUGGGGAUGACGUCAAGUCAGCAUGGCCUUUAUGUCUGGGGCUACACACGUGCUACAAUGGCCGGUACAAACCGUCGCGAUACCGUAAGGUGGAGCUAAUCGGAGAAAGCCGGUCUCAGUUCGGAUUGCAGGCUGCAACUCGCCUGCAUGAAGUUGGAAUCGCUAGUAAUCGCGGAUCAGCACGCCGCGGUGAAUACGUUCCCGGGCCUUGUACACACCGCCCGUCACAUCACGAAAGCUGGCUGUACUAGAAGUCGCCGAGCUAACCCGCAAGGGAGGCAAGCGCCUAAGGUAUGGUUAGUGAUUGGGGUGAAGUCGUAACAAGGUAAGCGUAGUGCU